This is a long non-coding RNA of Globicephala melas (long-finned pilot whale), 1216 nucleotides long. RefSeq lists it as uncharacterized. The record is from RefSeq and is a predicted model, not a curated record. NCBI's taxonomy places the organism in Eukaryota, Metazoa, Chordata, Mammalia, Artiodactyla, Delphinidae.
CAAGAAGUUUCCUGAUCCUGGCAUGGGCAGCUCCCGUGGCAGCUCAGUUCUGGGGUGUGGCUUUGUGAGCUGUUUCUGGAAACACACUACCGUCAACUUCUUCAGUCCUCCCAGUGAUUCUAUUUCAAGCCUUUGGAGGAGAAGGACAUUGCUUCAAAUCAUCCUCAACCCUACAAUCAUAGGAACAUGACCUGUGUUUUGUCACGGAGAUGAAAAUAGCUUAACCCAAAUACAAGAACGAUGGUGGAAUUUCUCACAAGGUGACUUUAACCAUAUCUCAGCUUUCUCUGAUGGAAGACACAUGGUGAGAAGCAUUUGGUCCUAAAUGUAACCAACGAGUUUUGUUCCGUGCGUGCCAGCUCUCUGGAGAAGAUCUGUGCCUGGACAGAAGGUUUGGGGGGCAAGAGCCCUCUGACUUGGCCUCAGAACCAGGGAGCCUCCCAGCGUGGAGGGCCUCUGAGCCCUUCAGCUGCUGUCACACCCCUGACGAUGGUGCUCUGAAGAAGCCAUGGGUCCCACCCCAGACCCAGUCCUCUUGGCUCCCAGCUCCAGGCCAGGUGGUUCAGGCUACCCCACCACCUCAUCCUGGGAUCCCAGGAUCUCCCAGGGAGAGAGAUUUAUUCCCAAGGCACUGAAUGCCAAUAAAUAUUAAACACCCAAGUGGACAUAGGACAAUGAUAUUGAGAGGCCAGAGAGUUUUUACCAAAGUUGAGAGCUUGGUUUCAAGUACGUUUGUCCCAGAAUUCCAAGGCAGGAAAGGUACUUGGGAGGUCACCGUGUGUCCCCAGCGGCCUCUCCAGUAGCAGAAGGGAAGAAUGAAAGGUGCACACAGAGGACUCCAGGGGUCCCCACGCCCUGCCUCAACUCCUAAUUAAGAAAGACAACCUGGCCUUGAGCAGGCGGUGUGGACACGCACGUGCUUCUCUGGAAGACGCACUGCAAUGAGAUACCACCACAUGCCUAUUGGAACACCUAAAAUUAAAAAGACUGAUUGUGUCAAGUGUUUGUGAAGAUGUGGAGGAACUUGAACUCAUAUACUGUUGGUGGGAACGUAAAAUGGUACAACUAUUUUGGAAAACAAUGUUUCAUUUCUUGAAAAGUUAAACAAACACCUAUACCCUAUGACUAGCCCUUCCACUCCUAGGUAUUUACCCAAGAGAAACGAAAGCAUUCAAUACUUGUACAUGAAUACUCAUAGCAGCUUUAUGUGUAAUCA